AUGACCAUGCUCGCUUCCCUCUUCUCCCCCUCCCCUCUCCUCACCACCGCCGCCUCCACCUCCUCCUCUGCCACCUCGCUGCCAGCGCCACACGCUGUGAGGCUCCCGGCUCCCAGGCCGCUCACCGCCACACUGGCCGCGGCAGCCGCGGCCGGCCUCCUCCUGCUAACCCCCGCAGCGCCGUCGCACGCGGAGGCGGAGUUCAAGGUGUACUACGGCACGGCGGCGAGCGCGGCCAACUACGGCGGGUACGGCGGCAACGCGAACAAGAGGGACGCGGCGGAGUACGUGUACGACGUGCCCGAGGGGUGGAAAGAGCGUCUGGUGUCAAAGGUGGAGAAGGGCACCAACGGCACGGACAGCGAGUUCUUCAACCCGCGCAAGCGCUCCGAGCGGGAGUACCUCACCUUCCUCUCCGGGUUCCGCAAGCUGGCCCCCGUCGGCGCCGUGCUCGACAACCUCGCCCUCUCCGACGUCGGGCUGCAGGACCAGAUCUCGUCGGCGGACGACGUGACGUCGGCGGAGCGGAAGGACGCGGACGGGCAGGUGUACUACGAGUACGAGGUGGCCGGCGCCGGCGCGCACAGCCUCAUCUCCGUGACGUGCGCCCGGAACAAGCUGUACGCGCACUUCGUCACGGCGCCCAACCCCGAGUGGGGGCGCGACGAGGCCGUCCUCCGCCGCCUGCACCAGUCCUUCAAGACCGUCGACUUCAGCGGCCAAGAUUAA
Molecule: ribosomal RNA, 729 nt
Filed under: Triticum aestivum (bread wheat)
Lineage: Eukaryota; Viridiplantae; Streptophyta; Magnoliopsida; Poales; Poaceae
Description: partial small subunit ribosomal RNA
Source: RNAcentral